RNAcentral lists this long non-coding RNA (8362 nucleotides) under Salmo salar (Atlantic salmon). Its description in RNAcentral is "lncRNA (ENSSSAG00000098793.1)". Lineage: Eukaryota; Metazoa; Chordata; Actinopteri; Salmoniformes; Salmonidae. The record is from RNAcentral.
CUUGCUAAACAUUACCUCUCAAAAAAACAAAAGAUGACACUUCCUGACAUGCCCUCUGUGUAUAAAUUGUUAGUCCCUCAGAUGUUCCCAUCACUGAAGGGAAUCAUACAGGCCUCGCUGACCAUCCCAGUUAGCAGCUGUGAGAGAUCUUUCAGUGCAUUAAUACGUCUACAUACCUGGUUUAGGAGCCCAAUGACCCGACAUAGAAUGCAUCAUGACAAUUGACAAAGAUACUAACACGCUCGGGAAAGAGUGAAUAAUUAAUUAAAGAACAAAGAAAACUUGAGUUACUCUUUGCCAAAUAAUUUGUUCUAAUACCAGAUUUGAAUUGACGCGACUCGACAUUAUGAACACUAAAGCUGCUUCUUUCUCCAAUAGAAAUUCCGGAUCAUACUCGUAGGCGACGUCAUGGCAACGUCGGCUAGCUAAUGCGUAGAAUCACGUCAUCGCGUCGAACCAACGUCUCGCGUCGAACUGCGCAUGUGCAGGCCGCCAAAAAUCAACGGCACGCCUUCGAUUAUAAAGCCGUUUUUCUUUGUUGUCGAAAAUCAAAACGUGUUAGUUUGUAAUUCUCACGAAUCUUGGAGCGAUACCAAAUUCAACUACUUUAAGACAUUGGCUCGAAUUUUGUUUGUGCCUUCAGGUUUCGAGGAAAGGAACAAACUAAGAAAUAAUUGUUAACUUCUCAAACCAAAGGCCCGGAAACUCUGUGCGUAAAUGUUACAUUCUGGCGCAUACCGCUUUUUACUAGCUAGCUGACGGAUGUUUUCAGACAUAUUUUUCAAAAGAUAUGGGAAGUCUUUUUUUUGUCUUGAAUUUCAUUCAAACGUAAUGGAGGCCAAGGGAUUUGCAGUAGUUCACCACCAGUAAAGGUACAGCGUUAACUAGCCUUUCAGGUUAGUACAACUAACUAGUUAGCGCAGCUGCAAACCGUAGUAGCCUAACCUAGCUUGUUAGCUAGCGAAAGAACAUGUGACUAGGUAGAUAGCAAAUGUUCGCUGGAUCUCCAAAUACGAUCUAGGCGUUUGCAGCCACUUAGCUAACUUAUAUUGGGCAAAUGAUAAUAGCUAGUUAUCAAGUUAGCUUGCUCACAUCAGUUUUAUGGUCCAUGUUUUAAUUGAUGCAAAAUGGACGUUAAGCAAGAGGAAAAUGAGCGGGAGCUAUCCCAAACAAUAAUUUGGUCUGAUUCGAUUAAUGCCUGGAUAGAUUACCCAAGUUCUCUAUUGUCAAAAAACACAGAAACAGGUUCCCAUGUGGGUUUACUGAAAGAGCGUACAUGUGUACCUACCGUAAGUCCCCAAACAACAAGUCGAGGGCAGAUUUUACGUAUUUUUCCUGAAAUGACCGGAGCAAGUGAUGGGGAGAACAGGGGUGUCAAAAUUGUUUAUUUCUGCAAAGACCAAGAUACCAUCAGCACAUCUGAAAGGCAUUCGAUCAAAGAGGAGUCAGGACAUGUAUCAACCCUCAGUGAUUCUUUUGAAGCUCAAAUCAACCCAAAGUCACAGGGUUUUAGCCGAAAACAGACCCGGACCAAUAAUGAAUUGCCUGUAGACAAUGUUAAUAUCCAAGGCCAUAGUACUGCCAUUACUUCUGUGCUGACCUCACCUGCUAUAGAAAGUGGCUAUAAUUUAUCUGUAUCUAAUAUUAUUCCAGAAUAUUGUGAGCCAUUGAACUUUCCCUCAGAUGAAGAAGAAGACUACAAUACCAAUUUAAGACGAAGAUUGCAAUGCCAAAAAACGGUUGAGGAUAAAUAUCUAUGGCAGUGCCGUGGCUGUUACUCAAAACCUAACCCCAAAAGAUUUGGGAAAUAUUUGAAAGAUCCAUAUGCUAAGUGCAAGGAAAUAGGAAUAGAUUUCCAUGUUAGAUCUGGAGCGAGACAGAAACUUGAUUUGCAUUUACUGACAAUUGGUGUAAUGAUCGAAGUGUCUGAAUAUGUUAAAAACAUUAAUAGAUCUAACAAGCAUGUUAUCUUUGAUAUUCUAGAUUACAACUUUGAUCUUGGUGUGCAAAAUGAAGUACGAGGUUACUUUUCAAACAAGAUAGAAAGAAAAUUAAAUGACAUGCUGAAGAUGUAUACCAAGAGGAGAAAUCCUGAGUGGUUAAAAGAAGUGUUUGAACUUCCUGAUUCAAAGACAAUGAACGCAUGGGGAAAAUCUCGGUUUGCACGGUCCAAUUUGAAUAACAGCGUGUCAGAAAAUCCUACACCUUUUGACAUCUGCAUAAAGGAGAAGCCUGUUGUGGACCUGAUAGCUCCUCUGCAUGUGACGACUGAGAACCUCUCUACUCAGACAGAUGUAACACGAUGUGCUGAGACAGCAAUCCUUGACCCUGAAAAUGGACCUAAUGAUAUCUGCACAAGGGAUAAGUCAGAUCUGGGCGUCAUCCAUCAUGUCAAGACGGAGACUGUCAGCACUCAGACAGACAUGACAAUGGACCAAUCCUUCAUGAUGCCCACAGUAGAAGAAGCAUUGAGUGAACUCUACCCAAUCUGUAAGGAAAAAGGACUUGACCUUGAUGUGAAAUCAACAUUUGGGAAAAAGGAGAAACUUGACUUGCGUCUAUUGACCAGAGAGGUAAUGAUUGAAUUGGCUGAUUUUACCUCACAAAUGUGUGGAAAUUGGAAGCAGAUGGUCUGUGAUGUUGUUGAGCAUAAUUUUGAUCUGGAUUUAAAAAGUGGGAAAACUGACCUGGCUGAAGAUAUCAUUAAUAGGUUAAGAGCAGCUUUGCAGCCCAAUGUAAAUUUAAAAUUACAUGAUCACCGACUGAGAUGUGAAUUAGAAAAGGAAUACUUUUUCUUGAAGAAUUCGUGCAAACUCAAGAAUGAUACAGAGAUGUCCAGUAACCAGGUAACUACAGCAUCAUUUGAGCCGAAUGAUCAAAUGAAAGAAGUGUCGAAAAGGAGGAGAUUGGAUUUAAUGAAAAAGGAAAAAGAAAUGGACACGUGCGUAGCCAGGGAGACGGAGGGAGUCCGUUUCGAAGUCAGACCAGUAGAAUCUCAUUGUGUCAAGAAGGAGAGAAUCUCUGAUGAGACUGACCUUGCACUUUGUAUUGAUGAAACAAAGCAAAUUGUUGUUACCAACUUGGACCAAUCAAAUGUGACGUCUAACACCAAAAAAGUUGUCAACGCGUGCUACACACGCUGUGAGGAAAUAGGUCUGGACCUUGAUGUUGCAUUCAAACCCUCUAAAAAGAAACUGGAAUUUCAGUUACUGACAAACGGUGUAGUAUUUGAGGUGUAUAAAUAUGCUAAAAUAAAACCCUAUCCCCUAAAAGCAGAAGGAUGGGGGCAUAUUCUCUAUGCUAUUCUAGAAUACAAUUUUGACCUUAGUUUGCAAAAUCAGAGACGAAGUCAAUUUCAAUUUUGGAUUUAUCGUAAAGUGAAAAGAAUGGUUAAAAAACACAGACUUCAACUCACAAGAAGGGACAAACUCUCAAAAGAAUUGUUUGUAAUACCAAAUGUGAUUCAAACCAAAGCAAAAAAAACAGUGCUUUAAGAUUAUUUCCCCGGAAAAAUGUAUGGAACAAGAUGAACAAAAACGAGUUUAUCUUCAUCAUGUUAGACACUAUCGCCAUGGAGACGAUUUGAAACAAUCUCCACUGAUGAAGCAGCAAUGCUUGGCCAGGAUAAAAUGGACCAGACCUUCACUCUGAGAUCAAAGUGGUUUAUUUCUGUGAAGACCAAGAUACCGUCAGAACAUCUGAAGAGCACUUGAUCAUGGCAUGGAUCAACACCCAGUAAUAUUCGGGAAAAAAAUGUAUUCAGCCUCCCACAAGUCACCACUACCGACUGCAGAAAGGAGUUCUUUUGAAAGUCAAAUCAACCCAACUUCACAGAUGUUUUUUAAAAUAUUUUUAUUUCACCUUUAUUUAACCAGGUAGGCAAGUUGAACAAGUUACGUUAUGUAACAAGUUAUGUAACCAGAAGGUCACUACAGCUUCACUUGAGCCAAAGACUGAAAGGAGUAACAGAAAAGAGGAGAUUUAAUGAGGAAAAAUAAAUAAGUUGAUAUGUUUUAUAGCCACGAAGACCAAUGACAUGUAAUGCUAUGAAGUCAGACAAGUAGAACCUCAUUGUGACGAGACAGAGAGCAUCUCUGAUGUUUCAUCCCAGUAGAACCUCAUUGUGACGAGACAGAGAGCAUCUCUGUUGUUUCAUCCCAGUAGAACCUCAUUGUGACGAGACAGAGAGCAUCUCUGUUGUUUCAUCCCAGUAGAACCUCAUUGUGAUGAGUCACAGAGCAUCUCUGGUGUCAGAGGAAGGUCUUAAAAAUUGUCAGACUGUUCUGUCUGCUACCGCACAGCAAGCGGUACCGGAGCGCCAAGUCUGGGACCAAAAGGCUCCUUAACAGCUUCUACCCCCAAGUGAUAAGACUGUUAAACAGUUAAUCAAAUGGCUACCCGGACUAUUUGCAUUGCCCCCCUUUUUUAUGCUGUUGCUACUCGCUGUUUAUAAUCUAUGCGUAGUCAGUUUACCCCUACCUACAUGUACAUAUUACCUCAAUUUACACGACUAACCUGUACACCCGCACAUUGAUUCUGCACCGGUACCCCUUGUAUAUAGUCUCCUUAAUGGUAUUUUAUUGUAUUACUUUUUUAUCUUGCUUUAGUUAUGUUUUUUAAAUAGCAAAUAUUUUCUUAAUUAAUAAAAAAAAUCUGCAUUGUUAGUUAAGAGCUUGUCAGAAAGCAUUUCGCAGUAAGGUCUACACCUGUUGUAUUCGGCGCGUGUGACAAAUAAAAUUGUAUUUGAUUUAACUUAAUCUCCUCUCGGCCAGGAAAUAGAAUGGAGAAAAAUAUUACCGUGACCAGGAAAAGGAGUCUGAUGCAGAUAGAUUAAAGUCAUUGUAAUAUGUUAGGUUGAUUCUUGCCAAACUUUUUAAAUAUUUUGUAGUCGAGACUGGUUCUGAUAAGAAAUUCAAACAAAUCCCAGAAUUACAGAUCAGAUAUCCUAGGGUUUGUGGGUAUUAGAAAAUAUGCAAAACGUCAAGUGCUGUCAGUGUUGCAUUUGUAACCUUUGACAUGUUCAAGAAAACUCGCUCUUUGGAAUGCCUCUGGACAAUGGACAGUGAAAAAGACUUGUGUUGAAAUCAGGGCAGAGAGAACAGGGUUGUAGUCAAAAAGAAGAAGGGCUGUUGAGCAGGUGUGGUAGAGAGAAACACUAAAGCAGUGGAGCUAAAGUCUGGACAGGAUGUAGUCUAACGGUGGAAAAAAUUACACAAACUGGUUGAUGCACACAUUACAAUGACAACAGUUGCAACAAGCUUACUCUGAAUUGACCCAAAGACCAUACUUAGAAUGGUUCCUAAUGGAAGACUAAUUUCCUGUCUCCCUGAAGUCAAUAGACUCACAUUCUAUACCUCACAGAGUCAACAAGCCUACCAGAGAUUCAACUCCAUUGUAUUCAUUAGGAAUACUGUAGCAAAACGUGCAAAUGGUGUACCAAUUAACCUAGUCUUUUUAGUAUUCAGUGAAAUAAUGGGAAAUGUAUGUAUGUAUAUAUGUAUAUGUGUUUGACUUAUUUGGAUUAAGGGUUUAGACUUUGAUUUGUGGAUUGUGUAGAUUCCCUUGGCCUCCUGUUAACACUUGAUGCCUGGUCUUGCUGUAAAGAGACUGAAUACAGCAUGAUUAUUGCUACACUUCAUUUGUUUUCAGCGUUGAACGACGUUUCAAUUGACAAGCCAAACUCCACUACCUUUACAAGCCUCAAUAGAAGAACCUCUGAUCUUCUUUGUUAGAUAUAAGAAGGUAAACAAGGAUAUAUAUAUUUUUUUAAAUAAGACUUGCGUUGGUGAAAGAACCUACUAUGAUGGAGCAUGUUUUUCUUUUAGAAAAUAUAUUUGGAACUUUUCCGGGGUUUUUUCUAGCAAGAUUAAGAGACCGUACAUCAAGACUUGCUUUACUGAAACCAGUACUUCCUGUUUUGAACAUGAAGUUAUUCUACCAUCAACUGUGAAGUGGAAGUGUUUUGUUUGUUUUGAAGAGGACACUUUCACUAACGUUCUUAGCUGUUUCUCGGGACACCUGUGAGCCUCGGAUAAAAAGGUGAUGUGUGUUUGCAGUCUUAUCCCUUUUCUACUGUUUCAACUCUUCACAAAUGAAAACAUCUAAUCGCCAAAGGUUGACGCCAAUAAAGUCUCUCUGCUGGUGACGACGAGGUGGCCUCUACUAGUGAAGACGAGGUGGCCUCUCUACUAGUGAUGACGAGGUGGACUCUCUACUAGUGAUGACGAGGUGGACUCUCUACUAGUGAUGACGAGGUGGCCUCUCUACUAGUGAUGACGAGUCGGACUCUCUACUAGUGAUGACGAGGUGGACUCUCUACUGGUGAAGACGAGGUGGCCUCUCUACUAGUGAUGACGAGGUGGACUCUCUGCUGGUGAAGACGAGGUGGACUCUCUGCUGGUGAAGACGAGGUGGCCUCUCUACUAGUGAUGACGAGGUGGACUCUCUGCUGGUGAAGACGAGGUGGCCUCUCUACUAGUGACGACGAGGUGGCCUCUCUGCUGGUGACGACGAGGUGGCCUCUCUGCUGGUGACGACGAGGUGGCCUCUCUGCUGAUCCUCUAUUUCCAUACAAGAUGGACAUGAAGUCUGUCUCCAUCUUCAACCUGUGGAUUUGCUCUGAGGAUGUUGGACACCACCGUUGCACCUUCAGCCACACUAAUUUCCUGUCAGACUGGUUGUCUUUGAACUCCAUGCCAUGGACUGACUAAUCUGAACAUUUACUACAACAGGAAUACAAAUGUUCAUCAGACUCACCACACACGGUGGACAGACUACUCUCUAACUGGUUGUGAGGUUACAGGAAAUAGACUGAUCUGUUAUGAGGGACUGCCAGGUUGUGUAACAGAAUAAUACAGCCAGCUCAUCUUCAUUUCUCUUCUGUUAGGCCUUCUGACAUGUUGGUCUCUGUUGUUGGAACUGUCAGUCUUUGUUCUGGGCUUCAGUUUUCAUCAUGGUGGAUGCAGAAUUGUAAUCCUGAUUAGAUUAUGGUUAUAAAGACUUCAGGAUGUAGCCAGUACAUUGAAGUCCACUCUCUAGAUAAUAUAAAAGUCCUGGGAGAGGGACCGUGCUUCCAGGAGAAGGAUAACAGGACCUUGUCCAGAGACAACCCCCAGCCCUUAACCUCCAAGGGACUUGUGUACAGGGAGUUUAAUACAGAGAAUGUAAUACAAUAUUUGAUACGAUCAGGGAAUUUGACAUACAGUAUGGAUUACGUUUUGAAAAUUCAAUGAUCAUUACAUUUAUUUUUUUGUCAUUUUUUCCCCCCACAUUUUAUUGCACUGUAAGUGUUUGGCAGUUCUCAUGGAAACGUGGAAUUUUUUAACGUGUCUUAAGAGUGGAAACCCUAGAAAUGUACCCUCUGAUAGGCUAGAUCGAAUAAUUUCAGAUCUGUGAACAUUUCGUCUUUCAGAGGGCAUGUUUUACCUGAUUAUACCACAGUCUUUGAGUUUUACAUGAAUUCUAGUCUUAUCAACAAAAAAACACCACAUCCGGAAUGGGCGCCAGAUUUGUUUUGGGAAAAACGUUUUAAUUUUGUAAAAUAAAAAAUCCUGUAAUUCUACACAUUUUGCCAUGUUUUUAUGACGUGUUCAAAGUCUGAUUUGUAUUGUAUUCUUUGGGUUGGGGGGCCCCCUGGAGGUCAGGCAAGCGCCCUGCAUGUCCGGUCAGUAAUCCUGCUCUACUCCUGUGUCGGGUUCACAAACUUUUUCUGCAAACAAUUCCAAAUUGACACUAGAAAAUGGAGGGGACCCUACUUGGAGAAAUUAUAAUCCCAAAUUAACACUUCAGAUUCACAGCUUUAGGUACCUCAGGCUGUCCCAACAACAAUAAUGAUAUGAAAAAGCGCAUUCCAAUAGUGUAAAAAAGCAUUAAGGUCCCGAUUCAAUCAGAUCCGCACGUCGUCGGAGCUGUCAAAUCCACAAGUGCUGCACGGAGUUGCAUUAGCGUAUAUGCACCUAAAUAUUUUUGCUCUGCGACCUGGAAUUUUAAUUUUACGAGAAGAAGAAAAAAAAAUCGCCCAGAUAAUUGUUGCAAUGGUUCCUUCACUACGGAAGCCCCUAAAUGUGGGGGACACACUGAGCACAGGUUCAUGACCGUCAUACUUGCACCAUUACUACAAAGAAAACGGCUUGUUAUCAACAACAACCACAAAAUUGUGCUCCUACUUUUUCCCUUGUAAAAAAAAAAGGUAGAGGACUGCCUUGUUUACGUGUUCAAACACUGGAAUGUGAGAUGUAAUCCUAUACCCUGAUUAAAAUGAUAGAACACCUAAUUCUUUAAUGGUUUUUCAAUCUGAGUGUAAUUAUUUCAAUAUAGCCUAGUUUUGAACUUGUAACAGGAAUGGGACGGUUGUGACUUUGUG